RNAcentral lists this long non-coding RNA (238 nucleotides) under Panax ginseng (ginseng). Its description in RNAcentral is "long non-coding RNA (PGIN_LNC012646)". Lineage: Eukaryota; Viridiplantae; Streptophyta; Magnoliopsida; Apiales; Araliaceae. The record is from RNAcentral.
UUCUGUUUUGGACUUGCUCAUUUGAGUUGAGCUACCUUCUUGAUUCUUCCUUUGUUUCUUUCUUUGAAGUAGUCUCUCGAGUUUUCUUGAGAGUAUUUCAAUUUCUUCAUCAAAAUCUUCGUGAUCACUUUCAUUGUUGCUCUCGAUUUGAAGUGCCAAUGUUUUCUUUAUUGAUGCUUCAUCCUCUUCAUCAUACCUCUUGAGUUGAUUUUUAAAUUCUUCAAGCUCUCCAAACAAG